This 253-nucleotide ribosomal RNA is filed under the name uncultured bacterium. RNAcentral's name for it is "partial 16S ribosomal RNA". It matches the Rfam family "Bacterial small subunit ribosomal RNA", at positions 524 to 776 of the family's 1533-position model. The record is from RNAcentral.
CACGUAGGGCGCAAGCGUUGUCCGGAAUUAUUGGGCGUAAAGAGCUCGUAGGCGGUCUGUUGCGUCCGCUGUGAAAACCCGGGGCUUAACCCUGGGCUGGCAGUGGAUACGGACAGACUAGAGGUAGGUAGGGGAGAAUGGAAUUCCCGGUGUAGCGGUGAAAUGCGCAGAUAUCAGGAGGAACACCAGUGGCGAAGGCGGCACUCUGGGCCGGAACUGACGCUGAGGAGCGAAAGCGUGGGGAGCGAACAGG